UCCAGCAGCGACCUCGAGGACAACACCGCGCUGUUCCGCACUAACAGAGGCACUCAUUCCAGAACCCCUCUCAGCAGCGACCACGACAAUCCGACUCAGCAGUGCAGAAAAUAACACAAAUACGAUUGGAUAUAUGUGUCACGAAUCAAAUUAAGCUUAGGAUGGGCUAAAUAUGUUUGUGACAACUAAAAACGUACAUGUUUUGCUACAUAUAUCAUGACAAUAGUAUAUUAAAUACUAAAAAUGAAACUGUUUUACGUGACAGGUACAUUUCAGUUUACAGUCAAACCUGUCCCAGAGACCACCUUUUAAUAGAGACCAUCUGUCCAUAAAAACCACAACGAUUUUCUCCCAAUCCUUUCAAUUCCUUUCAAUCGACCCUGCGAAUAAAGACCACUUGUGAACAUAGACCACAACGACCAAAUCCCUUAGGUGGUCUUUAUUGACAGGUUAGACUGUAAUUGCUAUUGUGUGUAGCUCACUAUGUUUCAUUUAACAAUUAUGCAUUGGGGUCAAAACGUGUCAAUAAAAACAUAAACACAAAAAUAAAAUUUUCCAACCGUU
This is a long non-coding RNA of Dreissena polymorpha, 564 nucleotides long. RefSeq lists it as uncharacterized. The transcript has 2 exons. Lineage: Eukaryota; Metazoa; Mollusca; Bivalvia; Myida; Dreissenidae. The record is from RefSeq and is a predicted model, not a curated record.